Long non-coding RNA from Sphaeramia orbicularis (orbiculate cardinalfish), 941 nucleotides. RefSeq lists it as uncharacterized. NCBI's taxonomy places the organism in Eukaryota, Metazoa, Chordata, Actinopteri, Kurtiformes, Apogonidae. The transcript is spliced from 3 exons. The record is from RefSeq and is a predicted model, not a curated record.
CAGAUGCACCCACAGCUGAGCCCGCAAGAUGCGACCGGCUUGGAUCUUUUGAGCGAACGAGAAGAAACAGCAUUUGGGCUCCUCGUCCACUUGCACGAUGGGGUCGGCUGGAGGGAGAGAGGGUCACUGCUGUUUACUGAGGCUGGGGUCUGUGAACAGACAGCGCCACCGUGUGGACAGAUACGGUCACAUACUGCACACCAGCGGAGUAAUGGCACCACAAACUUAUUUGUAUGGUGACGUCCAUGCUCUUCGCUAAUCAAUAUUUGAAAAGACAUUGUCCCACAAAGCUACAAAUAAAUGCAGUUGUAGCAGGAAGCAAGCGAUCAGGAAAUGGCAUCACUGGUAAGGAGGGAGAAAGGAAAAGUUUCAAAUCAGACACACCUGAGAGCUGUGUAGAAGAGGGAAAUUCAAACAAAGGAGAGACUGGAAGGACGUCAGAUUAACAUGAGAAGUGAGACUGAAAAGAAAAGGAAGAAAUAAAACAUAAUAUAGACUUAAAUGAGGAAUUUGAAAAUGGACUGGUGUGGACCCAGGACUCUUUGGAAGAGAAAAUGAGUCCCUGGAGCAGGUGGACCUGUUCCUGCUCAGACUCAGGGGCGGCUCUCUCUCUGGGUUGGAGGACACCUACAGGCAGUUAAGUUCCCCUUUUUCCCAAACUCUCUUGGCUUCUCCCUAUGUCUGGCCUGAAAAUAUCCCUGUGCUCUCCCUCCCCCUACCCGACAUACAUACACCCCUAACCUCCAACCUGCCCCAGAUUGGACCCCAUUCAUCUUUUUUCCCCUUUCACACACAUACACUCUCAACUCUAUGAACUGAACUGAACUGAUCUCCAUACUCAUCAUCAUCCCCCGGAAAGAACUGAACAAACCUGAAGACUGGCCAACAAUUUACCCGUGUACACUCACUCUCACAUACAUACACUCCUACACACUCUCACU